RNAcentral lists this long non-coding RNA (491 nucleotides) under Felis catus (domestic cat). Its description in RNAcentral is "lncRNA (ENSFCAG00000046009.2)". The record is from RNAcentral. Lineage: Eukaryota; Metazoa; Chordata; Mammalia; Carnivora; Felidae.
GACUGUACGACUCAGUUCUUUAAGGAAGCCUCUCAUCACUAGACAAGUUUAAUUCCUCAUGAUUUAAUCUAAUGAUUUUGUACGCCGAACCUCUUCCUUCUUUUUUUUUUUUUUUUUAAUUUUUUAACGUUUAUUUCUUUUUCACAGAGACAGAGCAUGAGCAGGGGAGGGGCAGAGAGACAGGGAGACACAGAAUCUGAAGCAGAACUUCUUCCUUCUUAAUGUACUUCACACUUCACUUUCCAGAAACAAUUCCUGAUGGAAACAGAAGAGACAUUGGCCAUGGACACGUGUCUAGUUUAACCUGCGCUUCCGGAGCAAGGUUGACAGCAAUUACUACUCGCAGCCCUUCAGCUUUGUCUCCGGACACGCAGCUCCCUCAUCUAUCUUUCAAAAGCACAGGUCUUAUCAUGUUACACCUCCCACCUCCUGUCUUAAAAAAUAGAGCAUUAAGCCAGCUGAGAAAUCUCCAAGGUCAUUUCAAGGACUGA